Long non-coding RNA from Culex quinquefasciatus (southern house mosquito), 687 nucleotides. RefSeq lists it as uncharacterized. The transcript is spliced from 3 exons. The record is from RefSeq and is a predicted model, not a curated record. NCBI's taxonomy places the organism in Eukaryota, Metazoa, Arthropoda, Insecta, Diptera, Culicidae.
UCCUCCCAUACCAGCCGUCGCCGGCAAAAUGCAUAAGAGCAGCAAGCAGUUUACCCGAGCAGCGACUACACAAGACGACGUCACUUGGAAUCAUUACGCGGUGGUAGAUGGGCCUUGUGUUCCAGAGUUGGUCAGCUUCGAGGCAGCCCAAUCCGGAUGGGAGCGAUAAUUAGGUGGCAAGGUACCAGCAGCAACAAAUCCGUUUCAAAUUUCCCGCAUCAAGAUUAGUCCCUCGCGACUGCUGACGUUGUGCCACACUGGCCGUUCGGCCUGCUACCGGCGGAUUCUGCUAAACUUCCGCGAGUCCCAUCGUCCAGUUUCAAGUGCUGGCGGCUUCAAGCCCAACUGGUACAGUUACAUGUUGACAACAAGCUGUCCGAGCUGACUGGUGUGGAUGUCCUCGAACGGAAGCAUCACGAUUCUUCCAGCCUACGAAAUGACACUUCGUUAACAUCUUUUGGAUCAAUGCAUGAAUAUCGAGUCUCUGAGAAAUCAGUCCACCAAAACGCUGACAGCAAUCUGAAUCAUCGAUCAGGACUCAGGCUGCGCGUGGUCACAUGAUCACAUUUUUUUAGCUAGAUUUUCUUAUCGCGUGUGUGGAUCAUCUUCAGAUCAAGUGACACGAGUAAGUUUAUUUCAAUUUGAUCCAUUUGCCUAAUAAUUCACUUCCAAAUUAUAAUUGUAUAU